RNAcentral lists this ribosomal RNA (1112 nucleotides) under uncultured bacterium. Its description in RNAcentral is "bacterial SSU rRNA". It matches the Rfam family "Bacterial small subunit ribosomal RNA", at positions 223 to 1383 of the family's 1533-position model. The record is from RNAcentral.
AGAUGAGCCCGCGUCCCAUCAGCUAGUUGGUAGGGUAACGGCCUACCAAGGCUACGACGGGUAGGGGGUGUGAGAGCAUGGCCCCCCACAAUGGCACUGAGACAAGGGCCAUACGCCUACGGGUGGCAGCAAUCGGGAAUCUUGCACAAUGGACGAAAGUCUGAUGCAGCGACGCCGCGUGAAGGAUGAAGGUCGAAAGAUUGUAAACUUCUUAAUUCGCCGUAAGGCGAAGGAUUAAGCACCGGCAAACUACGUGCCAGCAGCAGCGGUAAAACGUAGGGUGCGAGCGUUGUCCGGAUUUACUGGGCUUAAAGAGUACGUAGGUGUUUCGGAAAGUCUGGGCUUAAAUCCCGCGGCUCAACCGCGGAACGUGUCUGGAUACUUCCGAAAUUGAGGGAGGUAGGGGGUGGCGGAACAUUGCAAGGAGGGGUGAAAUCCGAUGAUCUGCGAUGGAACACCAAAGGCGAAGGCAGCCACCUGGGCCUUUCCUGACACUGAGGUACGAAAGCUAGGGGAGCGAAACGGAUUAGAUACCCGUGUAGUCCUAGCCGUAAACGAUGGACACUAGCUAUCUCGCAAGAGGUGUGGCGCAAGCUAACGCGUUAAGUGUCCCGCCUGGGGAGUACGGCCGCAAGGCUAAAACUCAAAGGAAUUGACGGGGACCCGCACAAGCGGUGGAGCAUGUGGUUUAAUUCGAUGAUAACCGAAGAACCUCACCAGGGUUUGACAUGCAAGUGGUAGCGACCGGAAACGGAAGCGACCCGCAAGGGAGCUUGCACAGGUGUUGCAUGGCUGUCGUCAGUUCGUGGCGUGAGCUGUAUGGUUAAGUCCCAUAACGAACGCAACCCCUAUUCUGUGUUAGAAAUGUCACGGAAGACUGCCCGGGCAACCGGGAGGAAGGAGGGGACGACGUCAAGUCAGCAUGGCCUUUAUACCCUGGGCGACACACACGCUACAAUGGCGGCUACAACGGGUUGCAAGCCGGUAACGGCAAGCUAAUCCCUUAAAAGCCGUCCCAGUUCGGAUUGAGGUCUGCAACUCGACCUCAUGAAGUCGGAAUCGCUAGUAAUGGUGGGUCAGCCAUACCGCCGUGAAUACGUUCUCGGGUCUUG